RNAcentral lists this ribosomal RNA (119 nucleotides) under Pteropus alecto (black flying fox). Lineage: Eukaryota; Metazoa; Chordata; Mammalia; Chiroptera; Pteropodidae. The record is from RNAcentral.
AUCUACAGCCAUGCCACCCUGAACAAGCCCAAUCCUGUCUGAUCUUGGAAGCUAAGCAGGGUUGGGCCUGGUUAGUACUGGGAUGGGAGACCACGUAGGAAGACCAGGUGCUGUAGGUA